Molecule: ribosomal RNA, 254 nt
Filed under: uncultured bacterium
Lineage: Bacteria
Description: partial 16S ribosomal RNA
Rfam family: Bacterial small subunit ribosomal RNA
Source: RNAcentral
GACGAACCGUGUGAACGUUAUUCGGAAUCACUGGGCUUAAAGCGCGUGUAGGCGGGAGGGCACGUCCGUUGCUGAAAGCCCCCGGCUCAACCGGGGAAGUGGGGCCGAAACGACCCGUCUGGAGGGACGUAGGGGGAUCUGGAACUUCCGGUGGAGCGGUGAAAUGCGUUGAGAUCGGGAGGAACACCUGCGGCGAAAGCGGCUCACUGGACCAUAACUGACGCUGAUGCACGAAAGCUAGGGGAGCAAACAGG